UGGGGAAUAUUGGGCAAUGGACGCAAGUCUGACCCAGCAACGCCGCGUGAAGGAAGAAGGCUUUCGGGUUGUAAACUUCUUUGACAGGGGAAGAGCAGAAGACGGUACCCUGAAAACAAGCCACGGCUAACUACGUGCCAGCAGCCGCGGUAAUACGUAGGUGGCAAGCGUUGUCCGGAUUUACUGGGUGUAAAGGGCGUGUAGCCGGGGAGACAAGUCAGAUGUGAAAUCUGGAGGCUCAACCUCCAAACUGCAUUUGAAACUGUCUUUCUUGAGUAUCGGAGAGGUAAUCGGAAUUCCUUGUGUAGCGGUGAAAUGCGUAGAUAUAAGGAAGAACACCAGUGGCGAAGGCGGAUUACUGGACGACAACUGACGGUGAGGCGCGAAAGCGUGGGGAGCAAACAGG
Molecule: ribosomal RNA, 406 nt
Filed under: uncultured bacterium
Lineage: Bacteria
Description: bacterial SSU rRNA
Rfam family: Bacterial small subunit ribosomal RNA
Source: RNAcentral